RNAcentral lists this long non-coding RNA (2126 nucleotides) under Mytilus galloprovincialis (Mediterranean mussel). Lineage: Eukaryota; Metazoa; Mollusca; Bivalvia; Mytilida; Mytilidae. The record is from RNAcentral.
UUUUCUUCCGCCUAAUUUUGUUCUUGCGAUAAACAUUUGUUUCGCAAUAUGUCGCUUAGAUAUUUGGUAUAUGAUAUCGAACAGUUUAUGCGCUUUUGAAAUUUACCCUGCGUAAACGAAUACUUUUCUUUGUAGGAGUUAUCUCCCCAAACACUGUUUUCCUUGUUAGCGCAACUCCUUCGCAACCGUAAAAUAUUAUGACAAAUUUAUUUUACAAAAUUACUCGUUAUAUCCUUCGCAUGAUUUGUCCUAUUUUGACCGAAGCGAUAUGAACGCUCCAUAUGAGAGUUAUUUCCCCUUAUGCAUUUGUUAUAAGUGAUAUGCAUUUCUAUCUUGUAAACCAUAAGUGCUAGAGACCUAGGAUCUUUUGAUUUGAGGUCCUUGGUCCAAAAAAAUGAAAAUUAGGUCAAGGUCAAAGGUCAAGGUCAUAUUUGAGAUUUUCAUAUGUCUUUGAUUUCCCUAUAAUUCUUAAAUGGUUAUAGAUACAGAAAAUUUAAGCAGUGAAAAAUGUUAAGGACUUCAAGGGGCAACUUUGUUACAUUAUGACUAUAUUGGUUUUACCAUUGUGUAAGGGACAUAAUCCCCAUUGAUGGUUUAUAUAAAGCCAUUAUUAGACAAAACUCUUAAACAAAAUGACCUUGACCCAUAGGGUCUUCUGCAAUGACAUUGUGAAGAAAUGACCUUGACAAAGGUCACAAGGUCAAAGGUCAAGGUCAUGUACAUAUGUGAUUUGGGGCACUACUUGAAGAGUUUUAUGUGUGUUUGCCUGCCAACCAACCAACCAACCAACCAACCAAUCAAUCAAUCAAUCAAUCAAUCAAUCAUGAUCAUGAUCAAUCAACCAAUAAUUAUCAUGAUCAAUCAAUCAAUCACGUUUCCGUCUCGUGUGUUUAUCAUAGGGUUCAAGAUCUUCUUUGUUUCUUUUUCGCUGUUUCAACUGACCCUAUCCAACGUGUUUGACCAAACAACCAACCAACUAAUCAAUCAAUCAAUCAAUCAAUCAUGAUCAAUCAAUCAAUCAAUCAAUCAUGUAUCCGUCUCAUGUGUUUAUUAUACGGUCCAAGAUCUUCUUUGUUUCUUUUUCGCUGUUUCAACUGACCCUAUCCAACGUGUUUAACCAACCAACCAACCAACCAACCAACCAACCAACUAAUCAAUCAAUCAAUCAUUCAAUCAAUCAAUCAAUCAAUCAUGAUCAUGAUCAAUCAAUCAUGUAUCCGUCUCAUGUGUUUAAUAUACGGUCCAAGAUCUUCUUUGUUUCCUUUUCGCUGUUUCAAUUGACCCUAUCCAACGUGUUUAAUCAACCAACCAACCAACCAACUAAUCAAUCAAUCAAUCAAUCAAUCAAUCAUGAUCAUGAUCAAUCAAUCAUGUUUCAUGAAAAAUUGAAAUUUAAUAUUGUUCUUGCGUCACUUCUGAAAAAAAAUCAACAUGUACUCUGAAACUACAAGUACAAUCGACCUCAAAAUUUGCAGUCAGCAGGGCAUACAUGUACUUAAAGUUUAUAAAAAAACUUGGUGCAGAUAUCUCUCAAAGCUUUUCCUAGAGAAAAGAAAUGGCAAUGCCGUAAAAAUCGCUUGCAAGGUCCGUAAAUCUCAGUAAAAACCUACAAUAAAAUGUCCGCUCCGAGAUUGAAAUACUAAUCUGUGUUACAAACAGGUGCUGAAAAAUGUACAAUAUCAGAAAAUAAUCAAUAAAUGUGUUUUAAAGUUACACCGGAUCAAUUAAAUCCAAAACAUGCACUGCCCGUGAACUGUGAUCCAAAUGUCAAUUUCCUACAAUGACAAAAGAAAUUACAUUGUGUUUAUUCCGUCUCUAUACAUGUUGUCUGUUCAAAGUCCCCACCUAAAAAGAAAUAUAAAAAGACUAACUUUUCGUUAUUAUAAACCCGUGUCACGUGAUGUGGCGCGCGCGCUGUACCUAAAAUAAAAGAAAAACUUUCCAAACUAAACAUGAAACUUCUCCGGUAACAAUAAUAUAGACCCCAUACAGAAACAAACAAACAAACAAACAAACAAACAAACAAACAACCCCUCCCCCCCAAAUUCAAUUAAUUUUAAAGGGGGAAAGACCGCCUACAAUUGCUUUUUUAAAGCAAUUGAUUUAUAUUUUAUUUUAUAUUUCUU